RNAcentral lists this ribosomal RNA (1571 nucleotides) under Eudiscopus denticulus (Disk-footed bat). Its description in RNAcentral is "16S ribosomal RNA". It matches the Rfam family "Bacterial large subunit ribosomal RNA". Lineage: Eukaryota; Metazoa; Chordata; Mammalia; Chiroptera; Vespertilionidae. The record is from RNAcentral.
AAACUAGAAAUAGCUCAAACCACAUAUUAUUAUAUUAUACUCAUAAUAUUAAAACAAAACAUUUAUAACACUAAAAGUAUAGGCGAUAGAAAUUGUAUUUGACGCCAUAGAGAGAGUACCGCAAGGGAAAAAAUGAAAGAAAACUUAACAAGUGAAAAACAGCAAAGUUUAGCCCUUGUACCUUUUGCAUAAUGAUUCAACUAGAAGCAGUUAGCAAAAAGAAUUUAAGUUAACCAACCCGAAACCAGACGAGCUACCCAGUGGCAGCUUAAAGAGCAAACUCGUCUAUGUAGCAAAAUAGUGAGAAGACCCCUGGGUAGUGGCAACAAACCUACCGAGCCUGGUGAUAGCUGGUUGUCCAGGACAGAAUUUUAGUUCUAACUUAAAUCUACCAUAAAAAUUUAACAAAUUAAAAUGUAGACUUAAGUAAUAGUCCAAAAGGGUACAGCCUUUUGGACAUAGGAUACAACCUCAAUUAGUGAGUAAAUACCCCUAACUCCCCUUAGUUGGCCUAAAAGCAGCCACCAAACAAGAUAGCGUUCAAGCUCAAUAAAAUAAUCAAAAUUUAAUUUCAACUAUACAAAUGACACUCCUAAUAAUAAACUGGACUAUUCUAUUUUUAAAUAGAAGCAACACUGUUGAUAUGAGUAACAAGAAAUAUUUCUCCCUGCACAAGUGUAUAUCAAAACGAAUAACUCAUUGAUAGUUAACAGAGACAAGAGCAAUCAACCAAUUAAAUCUUCAUCACUAAAUGUUAAUCCAACACAGGAGUGCAAAUAGGGAAAGAUUAAAAGAAAUAAAAGGAACUCGGCAAACACAAACCCCGCCUGUUUACCAAAAACAUCACCUCUAGCAUUAAUAGUAUUAGAGGCACUGCCUGCCCAGUGACUUUCGUUCAACGGCCGCGGUAUCCUGACCGUGCAAAGGUAGCAUAAUCACUUGUUCCCUAAAUAGGGACUUGUAUGAAUGGCUUCACGAGGGUUUUACUGUCUCUUAUUUCCAAUCAGUGAAAUUGACACCCCCGUGAAGAGGCGGGGAUAUAAAAAUAAGACGAGAAGACCCUAUGGAGCUUCAAUUAAUCAACUCAAUGAGCCACCAUAUAUACAUCUUACGGGAAGUAAACUCGGCCAAACUGAGUCGACAAUUUAGGUUGGGGUGACCUCGGAAUAAAAGCAAACUCCCGAGAAAAUUUUUAAUUAAGACAUACCGGUCAAAAUUAAUAUAUCAUAUUAUGAUCCGCCAAAGACGAUCAUCGAAACAAGUUACCCUAGGGAUAACAGCGCAAUCCUAUUUAAGAGUUCAUAUCGACAAUCAGGGUUUACGACCUCGAUGUUGGAUCAGGACAUCCCAAUGGUGCAGCCGCUAUUAAUGUGUUCGUUUGUUCAACGAUUAAAGUCCUACGUGAUCUGAGUUCAGACCGGAGCAAUCCAGGUCGGUUUCUAUCUAUUCUAAGUCCCUCCCAGUACGAAAGGACAAGAGAGACAGGGCCCACUUAAAAUAAGUGCCCUCAUACAAACAGAUGAAAUAAUCUCAAUCUAAAUAUCCACACAACCACCCCAAAAUAAGGGUUC